RNAcentral lists this long non-coding RNA (574 nucleotides) under Monodelphis domestica (gray short-tailed opossum). RNAcentral's name for it is "lncRNA (ENSMODG00000044203.1)". The record is from RNAcentral. Lineage: Eukaryota; Metazoa; Chordata; Mammalia; Didelphimorphia; Didelphidae.
UUUAGUGUAAAUAGUACUUUAGAUCAAAAAAAUUUUUAUGUACAUGUGUAUAUGUAUAUCUAUGAUUCUCGUAACAAUCCUGUGAUUUAGAUUCUCUUGGUAUUAUUUGACAUUUCUCAGAUAUAGAAACUAAAGCUCAGAGAGUAUUAAUUGAUUUGCCCUUGAUCACCUGGCUUGUACAUUCAUUUCAGGACUAGAAUUUGCACCCUCACCUCUCCUUACUCUGAGUCUGGUUUGUUAUCUGCUAUUCUGUGCUGUUUCACUAAGUUCUAAUUCUUAUUUGUAUCCCCAGUAUUUGGAAUAGUGUUUGACAAGCUGCUCCUACUGCUGUUGUUGUGAGCCUGCCACUUCAUCUCUUGAACACACAAUCUAGGAGUCCUUGCAAGCUGCCUUUUGGAUGUCUGGUCCUGGGUGCACUUGUCCUUGUGAUCAGAUUGACCAAUCCUGAGAUUCGGGGGGAGAUUCAUCUCCCUACACCUCCUUGCCAUUUUGGCCUGCCCAGUCUUUGCAACACACCCAAUAUGGUGUUCAUCCACACUAUGCCCAGUGCAGGUAUGGGGAACUCCAGAGAUAU